GCCCAGAUCUAAGGAAUAGCCACUGGAAACGGUGAGUAAUACCUUAUACGCCCUUCGGGGAAAGAUUUAUCGGAUUUGGAUCGGCCCGCGUUAGAUUAGAUAGUUGGUGGGGUAACGGCCUACCAAGUCUACGAUCUAUAGCUGGUUUUAGAGGAUGAUCAGCAACACUGGGACUGAGACACGGCCCAGACUCCUACGGGAGGCAGCAGUGGGGAAUCUUGGACAAUGGGCGCAAGUGAUCCAGCCAUGCCGCGUGAGUGAUGAAGGCCUUAGGGUCGUAAAGCUCUUUCGCCUGUGAAGAUAAUGACGGUAGCAGGUAAAGAAACCCCGGCUAACUCCGUGCCAGCAGCCGCGGUAAUACGGAGGGGGUUAGCGUUGUUCGGAAUUACUGGGCGUAAAGCGCACGUAGGCGGAUUGGAAAGCUAGAGGUGAAAUCCCGGGGCUCAACCCCGAACUGCCUUUAGAACUAUCAGUCUAGAGUUCGAGAGAGGUGAGUGGAAUUCCGAGUGUAGAGGUGAAAUUCGUAGAUAUUCGGAGGAACACCAGUGGCGAAGGGGCUCACUGGCUCGAUACUGACGCUGAGGUGCGAAAGUGUGGGGAGCAAACAGGAUUAGAUACCCUGGUAGUCCACACCGUAAACGAUGAAUGCCAGUCGUCGGGUAGCAUGCUAUUCGGUGACACACCUAACGGAUUAAGCAUUCCGCCUGGGGAGUACGGUCGCAAGAUUAAAACUCAAAGAAAUUGACGGGGGCCCGCACAAGCGUGGAGCAUGUGGUUUAAUUCGAAGCAACGCGCAGAACCUUACCAACCCUUGACAUCCUGUGCCACUACCAGAGAUGG
This 840-nucleotide ribosomal RNA is filed under the name uncultured bacterium. RNAcentral describes it as "bacterial SSU rRNA". It matches the Rfam family "Bacterial small subunit ribosomal RNA", at positions 128 to 1009 of the family's 1533-position model. The record is from RNAcentral.